AUGGCCGCCGCCGACGAGCACCACGAGGAGGCCAGCCCCCUCCUGCCCCCGCCCGCCGACGAGAAGCUCCCCCCGGCGCAGGAUCCCGUCAAGGGCUGUGCCGAUGGGGUCCCCGUCGUCAUGGGCGAGCCGGUCGUCGCCCCCGCCGGCGCCGCGCCGCGUGAAAGCUGGGACUCGGGGAUCCUCUCCUGCCUCGGCCGCAACGACGAAUUCUUCAGCAGCGACCUCGAAGUCUGUCUACUUGGAAGUGUAGCGCCAUGUGUUCUCUAUGGUAGCAAUGUUGAGAGGCUUGCAGCAGCACCAGGAACUUUUGCAAACAGCUGCUUGCCUUACACUGGCCUCUAUAUGCUCGGGAAUUCUCUCUUUGGGUGGAACUGCCUAGCCCCAUGGUUCUCUCAUCCCACUCGUACAGCUAUUCGUCGAAGAUACAAUCUUGAGGCAAGAUUUCUCUCAUUCUGCAUUGGUAGCUUUGAGGCUUUCACUAGGCAAUGUGGGUGCUGCGGUGGCCUUGCUGAGGACGAGGAGAGGCGUGAGCACCUGGAGGUCGCCUGCGACCUAGCUACCCACUACUUCUGCCACCCUUGCGCCCUCUGCCAAGAGGGGCGCGAGCUGCGCCGCAGGGUUCCCCACCCUGGCUUAUACGGGCGCUCCGUCAUCGUCAUGAUGCCACCCACGGAGCAGACUAUGGGGCGCGCCAUGUGA
RNAcentral lists this ribosomal RNA (702 nucleotides) under Triticum aestivum (bread wheat). RNAcentral describes it as "partial small subunit ribosomal RNA". The record is from RNAcentral. Lineage: Eukaryota; Viridiplantae; Streptophyta; Magnoliopsida; Poales; Poaceae.